UACGAAGGGGGCGAGCGUUGUUCGGAUUUACUGGGCGUAAAGGGCGCGCAGGCGGUCUUGAAAGUCAGGCGUGAAAGCCCCGGGCUUAACCUGGGAAUUGCGCUUGAUACUCUGAGACUGGAGUACGGGAGAGGAGAGUGGAAUUCCCAGUGUAGAGGUGAAAUUCGUAGAUAUUAGGAAGAACACCAGUGGCGAAGGCGGCUCACUGGCCCGGUACUGACGCUGAGGCGCGAAAGCGUGGGGAGCAAACAGG
RNAcentral lists this ribosomal RNA (253 nucleotides) under uncultured bacterium. RNAcentral's name for it is "partial 16S ribosomal RNA". It matches the Rfam family "Bacterial small subunit ribosomal RNA", at positions 524 to 776 of the family's 1533-position model. The record is from RNAcentral.